This 417-nucleotide ribosomal RNA is filed under the name Triticum aestivum (bread wheat). RNAcentral's name for it is "partial small subunit ribosomal RNA". Lineage: Eukaryota; Viridiplantae; Streptophyta; Magnoliopsida; Poales; Poaceae. The record is from RNAcentral.
AUGGGCGUGAGCCUGGCGCAGGCGGUGGCGGAGCUGGUGGGCAGGUGCGCGCGGCGGCUGUCGCGGGCGGCGCGGCGGCUGCACGUGCGCCGCCCGCCGGGCUCAUCCUUCCCGUCGCGCGCCGUCGUGCCGUUCCUCGGGGCGGCCGGGGGCAAGGCCAAGAGAGCGCUGUCGUGGCCGGCGACGUCCUCGUCGAAGAAGGGGAGGGAGGCGGGGCCGACGGAGGAGUGGGGCAUGGAGGCGGACGACGGGGUGUGGAGGAAGGAGAUACUCAUGGGCGAGCGGUGCCAGCCGCUGGACUUCUCCGGGGCCAUCUACUACGACGCCGAGGGUCGCCGCCUCGGGGCCCCGCCCACGCCGCGCACGCCCAUGCGCAGCCCGCUGCCGGCCUCCCUCAAGCUCGCCGCCAACGCCUGA